Molecule: ribosomal RNA, 407 nt
Filed under: uncultured bacterium
Lineage: Bacteria
Description: partial 16S ribosomal RNA
Rfam family: Bacterial small subunit ribosomal RNA
Source: RNAcentral
AUUGAACGCUGGCGGCAGGCCUAACACAUGCAAGUCGAGCGGAGCGGCGGACGGGUGAGUAAUGCCUAGGAAUCUGCCUGGUAGUGGGGGAUCACGUCCGGAAACGGGCGCUAAUACCGCAUACUAUCAGAUGAGCCUAGGUCGGAUUAGCUAGUUGGUGGGGUAAAGGCCUACCAAGGCGACGGUCCGUAACUGGUCUGAGAGGAUGAUCAGUCACACGGGAACUGAGACACGGUCCAGACUCCGACGGGAGGCAGCAGGGGGGAAUAAUGGACAAGGGGCGAAAGCCUGAUCCAGACAUGCCGCGGGUGUGAAGAAGGUUUUCGGAUUGUAAAGCAAUUUAAGUUGGGAGGCGUUACCAACAGAAUAAGCACCGGCUAACUUCGGGCCAGCAGCCGCGGUAAUUC